UAGGGUAUCUUCGGCAAUGGACGAAAGUCUGACCGAGCAACGCCGCGUGAGUGAAGAAGGUUUUCGGAUCGUAAAACUCUGUUGUUAGAGAAGAACAAGGACGUUAGUAACUGAACGUCCCCUGACGGUAUCUAACCAGAAAGCCACGGCUAACUACGUGCCAGCAGCCGCGGUAAUACGUAGGUGGCAAGCGUUGUCCGGAUUUAUUGGGCGUAAAGCGAGCGCAGGCGGUUUCUUAAGUCUGAUGUGAAAGCCCCCGGCUCAACCGGGGAGGGUCAUUGGAAACUGGGAGACUUGAGUGCAGAAGAGGAGGGUUGAAUUCCAUGUGUAGCGGUGGAAUGCGUAGAUAUAUGGAGGAACACCAGUGGCGAAGGCGGCUCUCUGGUCUGUAACUGACGCUGAGGCUCGAAAGCGUGGGGAGCAAACAGG
Molecule: ribosomal RNA, 429 nt
Filed under: Gemmatimonadota bacterium
Lineage: Bacteria; Pseudomonadati; Gemmatimonadota
Description: Gemmatimonadetes bacterium partial 16S ribosomal RNA
Rfam family: Bacterial small subunit ribosomal RNA
Source: RNAcentral